AGUUUGAUCCUGGCUCAGGAUGAACGCUAGCUACAGGCUUAACACAUGCAAGUCGAGGGGCAGCAUGGUCUUAGCUUGCUAAGGCCGAUGGCGACCGGCGCACGGGUGAGUAACACGUAUCCAACCUGCCGUCUACUCUUGGACAGCCUUCUGAAAGGAAGAUUAAUACAAGAUGGCAUCAUGAGUCCGCAUGUUCACAUGAUUAAAGGUUUUCCGGUGAGGGCGAUGGGGAUCUCUUUCCAUAUAGAUUUGGGGGCGGGGGGAACCCGCCCCCCUUUUUUCUUCGGAGGGAUAGGGGUUCAAGAGAGGAAGGCUCCCCCAACUUUUGGAACUUAGAACACGGGUACCAAAUUCUCUGGGGGGGAGCCACCAGUGGAGAAUUUUUGUCCAAGGGGGGAAGACCCUUAACCCAGCCAAAGUAGCGGAAAGGAUGACUCCCCUUAGGGGUUGAAAACUUUUUUUAAAAAGGAAUAAAAGUCGGGUAUGCAUACCCGUUUGGCAUGUACUUUAUGAAUAAGGAUCGGCUAACUCCGUGCCAGCAGCCGCGGUAAUACGGAGGAUCCGAGCGUUAUCCGGAUUUAUUGGGUUUAAAGGGAGCGUAGAUGGAUGUUUAAGUCAGUUGUGAAAGUUUGCGGCUCAACCGUAAAAUUGCAGUUGAUACUGGAUAUCUUGAGUGCAGUUGAGGCAGGCGGAAUUCGUGGUGUAGCGGUGAAAUGCUUAGAUAUCACGAAGAACUCCGAUUGCGAAGGCAGCCUGCUAAGCUGCAACUGACAUUGAGGCUCGAAAGUGUGGGUAUCAAACAGGAUUAGAUACCCUGGUAGUCCACACGGUAAACGAUGAAUACUCGCUGUUUGCGAUAUACUGCAAGCGGCCAAGCGAAAGCGUUAAGUAUUCCACCUGGGGAGUACGCCGGCAACGGUGAAACUCAAAGGAAUUGACGGGGGCCCGCACAAGCGGAGGAACAUGUGGUUUAAUUCGAUGAUACGCGAGGAACCUUACCCGGGCUUAAAUUGCAGAUGAAUUACGGUGAAAGCCGUAAGCCGCAAGGCAUCUGUGAAGGUGCUGCAUGGUUGUCGUCAGCUCGUGCCGUGAGGUGUCGGCUUAAGUGCCAUAACGAGCGCAACCCUUGUUGUCAGUUACUAACAGGUUCCGCUGAGGACUCUGACAAGACUGCCAUCGUAAGAUGUGAGGAAGGUGGGGAUGACGUCAAAUCAGCACGGCCCUUACGUCCGGGGCUACACACGUGUUACAAUGGGGGGUACAGAGGGCCGCUACCACGCGAGUGGAUGCCAAUCCCAAAAACCUCUCUCAGUUCGGACUGGAGUCUGCAACCCGACUCCACGAAGCUGGAUUCGCUAGUAAUCGCGCAUCAGCCACGGCGCGGUGAAUACGUUCCCGGGCCUUGCACACACCGCCCGUC
This 1420-nucleotide ribosomal RNA is filed under the name uncultured bacterium. Its description in RNAcentral is "bacterial SSU rRNA". It matches the Rfam family "Bacterial small subunit ribosomal RNA". The record is from RNAcentral.